GGCCUAUAGCUCAGCUGGUUAGAGCGCACGCCUGAUAAGCGUGAGGUCGAUGGUUCGAGUCC
RNAcentral lists this transfer RNA (62 nucleotides) under Listeria monocytogenes. RNAcentral's name for it is "tRNA-Ile". It matches the Rfam family "tRNA", at positions 2 to 60 of the family's 71-position model. Rfam says of the family: Transfer RNA (tRNA) molecules are approximately 80 nucleotides in length. Their secondary structure includes four short double-helical elements and three loops (D, anti-codon, and T loops). The record is from RNAcentral. Lineage: Bacteria; Bacillati; Bacillota; Bacilli; Caryophanales; Listeriaceae.